GGCGAGAUUCAGCUCCACCAUGCUGGUCCAUGUGCCGAAGUCCAGCGGCAGCGACGUCAACUGGUUGUCCUGAAGGCAAAAAGAAGCACAUUUGAUCAGCAGUGUGAUUCUCAGUUUGUGGAUGAAAUCAUUAUUUCUUACUUCCUCAUCUCACCUUCAUGUUGAGCUUGCUGAGGACUUUGGCUCGUGAGAAGAUGCCGAACGGGAUCUUGUUGAUGCGGUUGUGCUCCAUGUUGAGCGAGUAGAUGGUGGAGAACUGCGACGGGCCGCCCACCGGGUACGACUGGAAACAGUUGCGCGCCAGCGUCAGACUCGUCAGGUUCACCAGGCUCGAGAGAAGACCCUGUAGACCACCACAGGUUUUCCUACAGACGGGAAGAGAUGAAGGGAAAAGGGGAAGGACAGCGGGUUGCUCGAACCUCAGGCAGCAGGGAGAUGUUGUUGUUCUCGAGGUUUAACUCCUCCAGCUCCCGACACUUGGAUAAAGAUCUGGGGAUGG
Molecule: long non-coding RNA, 499 nt
Organism: Silurus meridionalis
Lineage: Eukaryota; Metazoa; Chordata; Actinopteri; Siluriformes; Siluridae
Exons: 3
Source: RefSeq, a predicted model, not a curated record